This 220-nucleotide long non-coding RNA is filed under the name Glycine max (soybean). RNAcentral describes it as "long non-coding RNA (GMAX_LNC000075)". Lineage: Eukaryota; Viridiplantae; Streptophyta; Magnoliopsida; Fabales; Fabaceae. The record is from RNAcentral.
CUCAGGCGGCCUGGCCAAGAGACCAGCCCUCUUCCUCUGGAGGGGGUGGGGCCUCUGCAGCCCAGGAGCCUGUGACUGAGGAGCCACCAGCACCAGCACCAUCACCAGCAGCAGUAGAGGAGGAGACCACUCCAGAUUAGACCCCACAGCCAUCUCCAUCCUCUGCACCUGCUCUUGAGGAGACGCAACCAUCAACACUGGAUCUUAAUGAAGACCAACC